This 253-nucleotide ribosomal RNA is filed under the name uncultured bacterium. RNAcentral's name for it is "partial 16S ribosomal RNA". It matches the Rfam family "Bacterial small subunit ribosomal RNA", at positions 524 to 776 of the family's 1533-position model. The record is from RNAcentral.
UACGUAGGGGGCGAGCGUUGUCCGGAAUUACUGGGCGUAAAGCGCACGUAGGCGGCUUUGUAAGUUAGAGGUGAAAGCCCAGGGCUUAACCCUGGAAUUGCCUUUAAGACUGCAUCGCUAGAAUUGUGGAGAGGUAAGUGGAAUUCCCGAGUGUAGAGGUGAAAUUCGUAGAUAUUCGGAAGAACACCAGUGGCGAAGGCGACUUACUGGACACAUAUUGACGCUGAGGUGCGAAAGCGUGGGAGCGAACAGG